Molecule: long non-coding RNA, 3060 nt
Organism: Ictalurus punctatus (channel catfish)
Lineage: Eukaryota; Metazoa; Chordata; Actinopteri; Siluriformes; Ictaluridae
Source: Ensembl
CACAGCUGCUCUUCUUCCACUGCUUGUUGGCGAGUUGCUGACGUACGCCAGUUACUCUGCUGUGUUUACAUUCGUGGCUCAGUGGAUCUGUAACAGAGAGACUAUCUGAGAGAUUAUGUAAACAGAGAUGCUAUCAACACGGACAUUACAAAAGAAAGCUUAUCAAAUUUGCGCCGUGUAGCGUCCGUGAAGCCUGUGCUUGGCGAACCCCGUCACAUGACUUGUUGGGUUUGACGCCGUAGCGGAUGACGUGUGGAGACGAGAUCUGUGGAUUACUGUGGAUUAAAACGUUGUACACUUGUAUAAGUUAUCACUCAAAUACCCUAUACACUAAAAGAGCAGGCAUCCCCCCCCCCCCAAUAAAACGAGAUAUGUGAGCCAACCUCCUUCCUGGAAGCCACGCCCCCUUCCUUCUAUCUGAAGUCUCUGGUAUACUUCGUAACGCAUAACCUUUCAAAGUAUACUCAAUUUGACAUGUAAUUCGACAACUUGCACUACCCCUCCUGGCCUACAGGAGUCAGUACAGAACAGUAAAGCAGGUCUUCUGGUGUGACGGACGAUAACGAAGAAGAAUCACAACAACACGAAGAACAAUGCUCGGGCAAUCUCUCACCACGAUUUGCUCCCGUAUACAAAUCCUUACACACUUCAAGGGUAGAAUUCUACAAAUGCGGGUACUUUCUAACCUGCACUCGUUCCCGUCUCUUCCAUUUAUUCCGUUUUUUCCUUCGGCUACCUUGAGAAUCAACGGCCCUGGGUCACUCUCGCCACCUUGUGGAACAGCUGAAUAGUGCAAGUAAAUUAAAUGCACACGUGCGACCUGCGUGUACAAAGUACAUGGUUAGAAACCUCGACGUGUACUGAAAUUUGCGUCACGCGUGCUGUACGCUGUUCAUUGCGUUCGUGUAAAAUGUGAAACACACAUUCCGCUUCACAAUCUCUCCACUCACGCAGACUCCCUCGCUUUCUGUCGAGGUAAAUGGACAAAGUUUUAAACUCCUUGAUGAAAACUAAAACCUAUCAGUGUAUGUUAAACUUGGCUAACACGAGACAUUAUAUAUUUCACAUUAGUGAAGUAUAUUUAUUAGAAGAGAGAAAUUUUGUGACUCAAAACGGUUUUUCCAGUUUUUAAAAAAAAUAAUCUGCCAUCUAAUCGAUUAUGGAAAUAGUCGUUAGUUGCAGCCCUUAAUCCUAGCCUAUUUAACAGUGGGAUUCUAGUUUUCUUUCCAUUAAAAAGAAAACCACACGUCUGUAAUGUACGUGUAGUUACUAUAGACAAGAAGUUUGUGUGUAGUAAAUUAACAGGAAGCUCAAUCGUUCAAAACUCAGACGAUGUGUUUCUGAUCGACGUGUAAGAAGUGCGUCAGACGUGGCGGUCACGCUCCGAUAUCAACAAGCCUUUCAGUUCACUUGAACAGAAGCAUACGGUCCAUAGAAAUCCACUGAAUUCACAAAAUCAUCAUAAAAAUCCUAAUAUACAGUCGUGGGCUGUUCGUACUGUGUGUUUCAGAUUGAAUGAAUGCUCACCAUUCUCUCUCUCACUCUCUCUCUACCCAUUCUCUUUCUUUUUCUUUCUCUUCUUUCUCAAAGUCUUUCUCUUUCCCACAAAUUCCAAAACAAGGAAAUUCACAAGCCACUUCUGUUUCAAUAAUCCAAGCCUCGACUUUGUCUUUUGUCUCUGUGUCAGAGAUAUCACCUUACCAAAUUUUUGCUCUGUGAAUCAAGAGUAAAAAAAAUAAAAAAUAAAAAAAUACAAUGGUAGCAAUUGUCAUAGUAAAGGUAAUUAGCAACAAGAGCUAGGCUAAUUAUACGGCAAUUACAAAAGGCCGGAGCGACCGCUAUUCUCUUAUUAGCGGUGUCAGAUUUUCCUGUUAAAAUAUCCGGAGACGCAUUGUGCUGCGGUAAUGCUGGAGUAAUAACACACGUUCUGUUUCGUGAGCACAGUGUUAUCAGCGAUCAGCUGUUAUUUAUAGCAUGAGGAGAGAAUAGAAACGGUGACAGCUGGAAAUUGAGUUGUUUCCCCGACUCUGUGGCAGGAUCUGUGCUGGUGGACAAAAAGAGUCACGCAGAGGGAGUCACCAUUUCGUACAGAAGGGUUUUAAGGAAGCAUAACAAACAAGGACGGUUUGGUCUCUUUUAAAAAUGUGCACGCCAGUGAUUUCAUUCAGAACAAUGUGUCGAUGGACAACGCAUGCCGAUGUGGAAAAAUGACACCGUUGUCCUGUUUAAAAAGUUCAUCCGGGUUAAGAUUUUGGUGGAAUGCAUGGUGGAUCAUGUGUCAGCCAAUAGAAGAUACUCUGGGCAAAGCAUCCAUGCUGAUGUUGAGAAAACGGAUAGAGAAACUAUUUGCACCCAUGUUUAAAAAUCUAUAAUUAAAUCCAGUGUUCAAAAUCUAUAAUUAAAUCCAGUGUUAAAAAUCUAUAAUUAAAUCCUGUAAAAAAUCUAUAAUUAAAUCCAGUGUUAAAAAUCUAUAAUUAAAUCCAGUAAAAAAAAAAUAAUUAAAUCCAGUGUUAAAAAUCUAUAAUUAAAUCCUGUAAAAAAAUCUAUAAUUAAAUCCAGUGUUAAAAAUCUAUAUUAAAUCCUAUUGUUAAAAAUCUAUAAUUAAAUCCAGUGAUGAAAAUCUAUAAUUAAAUCCAGUGUUAAAAAUCUAUAAUUAGCAGUGAGAAAAAAGAGACUCUUAGAUGUGUUUUGAUUCUGUCUUUAAAUGAUUCUUUACAGAUGUCCAUAAUGUGAUUUUUUUUUUUUUUUUUUUUAAAUAAAUAUUUUCAGUGAAAUGCCACAAAGCAGUUCAAAUACAAUGGAAAACAAGGGUAAUAAAUACAUAAAUACAUAAAUACUAUGGCCAAAAUUCAGAAUUAAAUUAGUGAUGCAGGAAUACCCGAGGACACCACAUCCUUUCCAAGUUUUGGAAAUUCUAACUCUUCGUUCAACCCCUACUGUUGUCACUUAUGGGCAUGCACUUUCCUGUAUUAUUAUUAUUUAUUUGUUUGUUUGUUUGUUUGCUUGUUUAUUAAUUUUUCCAACGAGAAAGCAUAGCCUCAAGCCCACGGUACGAUUUAU